GAUGAACGCUGGCGGCGUGCCUAAUACAUGCAAGUCGAACGCUAAGGCUAGUACCUUCCUCUUCUUUGAUGUGUUGCGAACGGGUGAGUAACGCGUAGGUAACCUGCCUCAUAUCGGGGGAUGCCUGUUGGAAACGAUCGCUAAUCCCGCAUAACAUUGAUUAUCACAUGAUAGUCCAUUGAAAUGUGCAAUUGCAUCACUACCCGAUGUACCUGCGUUGUAGUAGCUAGUUGGUGGGGUAACGGCUCACCAAGGCGACGAUACAUAGCCGACAGGAGAGGGUGAUCGGCCACACUGGGACUGAGAAACGGCCCAGAGGGAUACAGGAGGGAGCAGGAGGGAAUCGGCGGGAAGAGACGGAAGACAGACCGAGAAACGCGGAGGGAGGGAAGAGGGUUGUCGGAUCGGAGAGGACUGUUGUAAGGGAAGAAAGAGUGUGAGAGAGGAAAGUACACAAUGUGACGGUACCUUAAGAGAAAGCGACGGCUAACUACGUG
This 497-nucleotide ribosomal RNA is filed under the name uncultured bacterium. RNAcentral describes it as "partial 16S ribosomal RNA". It matches the Rfam family "Bacterial small subunit ribosomal RNA", at positions 28 to 507 of the family's 1533-position model. The record is from RNAcentral.